Gasterosteus aculeatus aculeatus (three-spined stickleback) is the source of this 869-nucleotide long non-coding RNA. The record is from Ensembl. NCBI's taxonomy places the organism in Eukaryota, Metazoa, Chordata, Actinopteri, Perciformes, Gasterosteidae.
AUACAAUGAUACCAUAGUAAAGAUUGAAACUGUUCUUUAUUGCGUUUUCCUACUUUUUUGGGGGGUGAAGGCCACAGGCGCCUCAGCCUCGGACAGUAACGCGAGGUGCUGGGUCUCCUGGUGAGCACGUGCUGUGGCAGGCCGGCAGCCAUGGGAUAGAACGACCACAUACCGCCAUGGAGGCUAAAGUCUGAGCGUCUUUCCAGAUGCACAGCGUGGGACUUUGUGUCUACAUGCGGCAGGCUGGCUGAUGUAAGUGGAGCAGCUGGCCUGCGCUGUGGCAGCCGCAUGUGAACAGAGACCAGUCUGGUGGAAUCCUGACAUGGUGGAGGACAAGUUCCUGUCUCUGUCCACCCAGUUGGACCAGACAGGCCUGCUGAUGGUUGACUGUACGCUGCCGUGGAGCAACCGGUCUCAUUUGUGUCCCAAGGAAAUGUAUGUUUUGUUGUGAUCAGUUCAUCAAUUCUGCAUAAUCGAUCUGGAUGUUUGUCUUAAAUGACCAUGUUUCAAUAAAAAUUCUUACUUUUAAAAAAAAGGAUGAUUGACAAAUCUCUGUUGUAAAAGUUAUGAGAAGUCAUUAAAUAAGUGGAGCGUUUGGCCUGCGGCACAAUCUGAUAACAGACCCGCCUGGUAAGUGUGACAGCCUUCCUGGGAGCCCUUAUUAGAAAUGUAGAUACUGUAAACCCAAUAGUAUACUGCCAUGGCAGAGAUACCCUUUCUUUGCUGUGGAAUCUUUAAUUGGGAGAGAAACCUCAGGACUUUGGCCAAGGUUCAUGUAAAACUAAUUUACUAUGACAUGACUUAAGACCUGACACACUUCAGUGGCGCUAAACUUAGUUGUUUCUGGCUGCUGGUGCAACCGGUCUCAU